GACGAAUGCUGGCUGCGUGCUUAACACAUGCAAGUCGAACGGUGAAGGGGAGCUUGCUCCCCGGAUCAGUGGCGAACGGGUGAGUAACACGUGGGCAACCUGCCCCUCACUCUGGGAUAACUCCGGGAAACCGGGGCUAAUACCGGAUACGACCGGGAGCGACAUCGCUCCUGGUGGAAAGAACUUCGGUGAGGGAUGGGCCCGCGGCCUAUCAACUAGUUGGGGGGGUAACGGCCCACCAAGGCGACGACGGGUAGCCGGCCUGAGAGGGCGACCGGCCACACUGGGACUGAGACACGGCCCAGACUCCUACGGGAGGCAGCAGUGGGGAAUAUUGCGCGAUGGGCGAAAGCCUGACGCAGCGACGCAGCGUGAGGGACGAAGGCCUUCGGGUUGUAAACCUCUUUCAGCGGGGACGAAGCGAAAGUGACGGUACCCGCAGAGGAAGCACCGGCUAACUACGUGCCAGCCGCCGCGGUAA
RNAcentral lists this ribosomal RNA (481 nucleotides) under uncultured bacterium. RNAcentral's name for it is "partial 16S ribosomal RNA". It matches the Rfam family "Bacterial small subunit ribosomal RNA", at positions 28 to 523 of the family's 1533-position model. The record is from RNAcentral.